This is a long non-coding RNA of Melanaphis sacchari, 851 nucleotides long. RefSeq lists it as uncharacterized. The transcript has 3 exons. NCBI's taxonomy places the organism in Eukaryota, Metazoa, Arthropoda, Insecta, Hemiptera, Aphididae. The record is from RefSeq and is a predicted model, not a curated record.
GGAGUCCACGAUCACCACAACGAUGAAGACUUAAAACGGCUACAGCGAAGACCAAGACUUAGACGACACGACUUGAGACGACUAUGGCUACGACCAAAACUACGACAGUGACAUUCAUGGCACAGCGGCCAGGUGUAGCAGAGACUGCUGCCAUCGCACAUAUAUACGUCCAUUAUAAUGUACACGAGUAAUGCGUGUGACGAGACUCACGGAAUUACGUCUGGAGAAUUGGAAUCAACGGAUUAUGUCCGCAAUGUGUACACACGAACAAACGUCGCGUACUGCAUAAUAUAUUAUUAUUCCAACACAAUGCCAUAAUGGUGCUGCGAUACUGCAGCGCGGAAGUGAAGAAGAAACGAAAAACAAUGAUUAAGAUGUGCUGCACCAGAUACGUCGAUGUGUACAAUAAGCUGCUCCUCGGCCCGUCUUCCGCCGAGCACUGCUGCAGAGCUGCAAAUGUUGACUCGACGAAAAAUGCGUGGCACCCUGUACGUAUACUAAAUGUAUCCUGAGUGCAUUAUAAAACUGUCCGGUAUACCUUCAGUAUACGUAACAGGGUGCCAUACCGAUCGUCCCGAAGCGAUCCCGUGGCGCUGUCAGUAGCAUCAUUACGACGUCACCGCCGCCUUUUUGCGUACAAAUUAAUUUUUAUACAUACAUUAAUAUACAUAAUUAUUCGUUGCUAAGCUUUAGAUAAAAAAAAAAAAAAAUUUAGAUUGUUACAAGAAAUAAAGCAAUGUAUAACUCUAACACAUUUAAUACACACGCACAUAUGUAUUACCUACAUAAUAAUAUCAUCACAAUAGGUAUACCUAUAACCUGUAAACAUGUAUAAUAAUAUAUAAAUUAUG